Molecule: long non-coding RNA, 425 nt
Organism: Ictalurus punctatus (channel catfish)
Lineage: Eukaryota; Metazoa; Chordata; Actinopteri; Siluriformes; Ictaluridae
Source: Ensembl
CAGAUACACCAGAGAGAAUGUGAGGCUGUUGUAUAUGAACAUCCCAGGUGAUCAGAAGCUUAUGAAAUACUCACACCAGCCCAUCUGACACCAACAACCAUGCCACGACCAAAGACAUUGAGAUCACAUUUCCCCCAUUCUGAUGUUUUAUCACUGGAAACAACGGUGGAUCACCAUGGAAACAAGCCCUUGAUGGCUAUGGGCAGUAUGGUUCUGCCUCUGCAAGUUUGCAAUGCACUUAGGUGAAAAAGAGAGGAACACCUGGAGAUCACUCAUACAUCAAGGAGCGGAAUAUUUCAAGCAGCACAUGAGGAAACAAGCAGAGGAGUAGAGAACAAAAGCAUGAGCCCUCCAGUCCAAAUUUCCUCUUCCCACUGUUUUGAGCUGUCCUCACUGCAAUAAAAUAUGUAUAGCCAAGAUGUGAC